UGUAGGUCUGGCCCUGACAGUGCUGAGCAGCUGCCUGAGGAUCUGGUUCUCAGACAGAGCCCCCCUGGGGGUGGGGAAUCUGGAAGAGGAUUGAAAAUGUAGCUAAUUAAUUCUGCCGGAUUGAAUUCACUGGGAAUGAGCUCUGGAGAUAAGGGAAGAAGCGGAGCCAGUACAAGGUGGCUUCUCCUCAACACAAGAUGAGUCCCAACCUGCUAGAACAAGGAUCGAGUAGAUGUGUUAAUGGUAGAAUGACAUCGCUGUACGACUUGGUGGGAUUAAACCAUGCAGGUUUGAGGGAGGCUUUGGGAGAGAAGCCUAUUGGGCGGAGUUCAGCUGAAACAUAAUCGAUAAAAAUCUCAUGAUCAGUGUCAUCAUAGCUGGUCUGCUGCCUCUGAAUCUGUGAAGUGAGUGUGCAUGCAGUUUAUUUCCUGGAACACUGCAGAUCUGUGUAUUUAGUUUUGUUAUUAAAUGCUUUCCUCCACUGA
Non-coding RNA from Chiloscyllium plagiosum (whitespotted bambooshark), 485 nucleotides. NCBI's taxonomy places the organism in Eukaryota, Metazoa, Chordata, Chondrichthyes, Orectolobiformes, Hemiscylliidae. The record is from RefSeq and is a predicted model, not a curated record.